RNAcentral lists this long non-coding RNA (682 nucleotides) under Phoenix dactylifera (date palm). Its description in RNAcentral is "long non-coding RNA (PDAC_LNC015368)". The record is from RNAcentral. Lineage: Eukaryota; Viridiplantae; Streptophyta; Magnoliopsida; Arecales; Arecaceae.
GAUGUGCUUCUACUCAAAAAAAAAUAUAUUGAUGUUGUACUGGCCAAUUUCUGACAAUAAACUAUUGUAAUUUUCUCAUCAACUCCUAGCUUGUGAUAAUUCAUCGAACACAUAUCCAGACAUCAAUAAUCAGUCCCCAAUCUUUUGUGAUUUGGAACUUUGCCCGCAUGAUGAAAAGUAAAAUGUCAAUGUUGCACCACACCAUUACUUGCUAAAAGGGCUCGUUUGGUUCGCAGGAAAAGGAGGGGGAAAAAGUGUGGUCAACGGGAAAGUAAUGAAAUGCCUCUUGUUUAGUUGGAGUUUUCAAAGGAGAGAGAUGGAAAAUUUGUAUUCCCAUGGGAAUAUGAUUCCCACAUUUCAUAGGAAAGUCUUUCCCAUGAAAGUUACUUUCCCAUGAGGUGAGAAUCACUCCUUUUUUAUUUUUUCCCAAAAAGACCCUUCAGCAUUAAAGAAGCAUUAAAGAGGCAUUAAAGACCUAAUUUUUAUUAAGGGCAUAAUAAGAAUUAUACAUAACUUUCCUAGGAAAGUGGAUGGUGAACCAAAUAUAAGCACUUUGGAAAUUUGUCACUUUCUUAUGGUUAACCAAACAUGCCAAAAGUACUUUCCUAGGUAUCCUCUUCCAGGAAUCAUAUUCCUAAGAGAAAAAAUACUUCCCGCGAACCAAACGAGCCCAAAGUGUAAG